GGGACAACCCGCCGAAAGGCGGGCUAAACCCGCGUACAUGCCACCGGGGCAUCCCGGAGGCAGGAAAGGCUUCGGCCGGACAGGGAUGGGCAUGCGGCGCAUUAGGCAGUAGGCGGGGUAACGGCCCACCUAACCGACGAUGCGUAGGGGUUCUGAGAGGAAGGUCCCCCACACUGGUACUGAGACACGGACCAGACUCCUACGGGAGGCAGCAGUGAGGAAUAUUGGUCAAUGGUCGGGAGACUGAACCAGCCAAGCCGCGUGAGGGAUGAAGGUACAGAGUAUCGUAAACCUCUUUUGUCAGGGAACAAAGGCGGGGACGUGUCCCCGGAUGAGUGUACCUGAAGAAAAAGCAUCGGCUAACUCCGUGCCAGCAGCCGCGGUAAUACGGAGGAUGCGAGCGUUAUCCGGAUUUAUUGGGUUUAAAGGGUGCGCAGGCGGUCUGUUAAGUCAGCGGUCAAAGCCCGGGGCUCAACCCCGGCCCGCCGUUGAAACUGGCAGUCUCGAGUUGGAGAGAAGUAUGCGGAAUGCGCGGUGUAGCGGUGAAAUGCAUAGAUAUCGCGCAGAACUCCGAUUGCGAAGGCAGCAUGCCGGCUCCACACUGACGCUGAGGCACGAAAGCGUGGGUAUCGAACAGGAUUAGAUACCCUGGUAGUCCACGCAGUAAACGAUGAAUGAAGGCUGUCCGGG
This 690-nucleotide ribosomal RNA is filed under the name uncultured bacterium. RNAcentral's name for it is "bacterial SSU rRNA". It matches the Rfam family "Bacterial small subunit ribosomal RNA", at positions 140 to 828 of the family's 1533-position model. The record is from RNAcentral.